This is a long non-coding RNA of Capsicum annuum, 3966 nucleotides long. RefSeq lists it as uncharacterized. NCBI's taxonomy places the organism in Eukaryota, Viridiplantae, Streptophyta, Magnoliopsida, Solanales, Solanaceae. The record is from RefSeq and is a predicted model, not a curated record. The transcript is spliced from 5 exons.
AAUACAUUAUAUUUGUAACUUUUUACCUUCUAAAUUGGUUCUUCAUCUUCCUGUUUUGUGAGCUAUCCUCUGCGUUGGUUCAAGAAAAUUUCAGGCAGAGACGAUUUAUAUUUGACUCGAGUAUUUUUCUCAUACGUGGAGGCGAUUCAGGAAGAACCAGUAUGUCAAAGAGAUUAAGACACUUUGAUUGGAAACAAGUUAUCCCGGAUUAGCUAUCUCGAGGUAAGUUAUUCCACCAUAUAUACGGGAUAAUUUAUUUCAUUAUUAUGGCAUAAAUGGUGAGAUAAAUAAUCUCGAGUCUAACUAAUACCCCAAACCAAACACAUGAUAAAAUAAUCCUAAAUUUUUUUUUCGAAACUAUUAUACCUUAUACCUCAGGCCAAAUGACUAGAAGAUUUUGAUGCUAUAUGCUUAUGCCUUUGAUAAUAUUGCAAUCUCCAAAGUCGUAAUUUGCAGGCAAACAGGGAGUUUGCAGGAAAAAGAAGCUAUGAAAGGUAAGCGCAUUCACGGUGAUAAAAUGAUGUUAUCACUUUUUGUUGUUAGGCAUUGGCAGCCAUUGAAUUUCAUCAUCUUUAGUUGUUGUUAUAGAGUUUUUCCUCUGCCUACAAAUUCUUGUAUUCCAAGGUCAAAUUUUUAGAUGGCUGGUGACAUGGUUUGAAAGUCAAAAACUUUAGACUAAAGCUUUAUCUUUUUGCUUUAUUUACCUAUGAAGAUGGCUUUCUAGAUUCAUAUACCAUCUCUUUCGAAUUUAGUAUAUUGUUGCAAGUGUUCAAUUAAAUCCUCGACUAUAUUAACUCUGUAAUCUGUGAAGAUGAGAAGAUACGUAGAAUAUAUGAGUUCACAACGCUAAGCAUGUAUUCAGUGAGACCUUUUGAACUAUAUUAUAAGCUAGCUCUUUGUUCGUAAUUGUGACUUACAGUUUAAUAGCUUCUUUCUGAUAUGUUGUUCCAUAACAGAAUCUGAACAGGAAUGCUUGAAAAGCACUUCUAGUAUUGAUUCUAUUUUUUCGAGGAAAAAUAGUAUCUCAUACAUCAAAAAGUUUAUGUAAAGGAAAGGCUUGAUGAUUUUCAAUAUGAUAUUUUGUUUCACCUCUUGAACAAAAUAUUCUAGGAAAUGACCUUCAAGACAAAAAGAUCCAACUCAUUGAUGGCUAAUAUUAUUUGUCUUAUCUUAGUAUGGCUUAUAAGAUGCAUUUGACCUUCUGAAUCAAUUACUAUCUUACAAGCAUAUUGCCAGUACUAACUUAGUUACAAAUUUUUUAUUUUUUUUUAAUCAUAUGACUAAGUAGAGACCCAAAAUAUUGCAAAUACAGAUUAUACAUAGACCUGCUGUUGGAAUUAUUAGGAUUCAGCUAAAAUGUUGCACUUCCACUUUCACUUUCACUUUCAUUCCUUUAAUUUUUGUAUCUUUGGUAUCUGGCCUUUGAUAUUUAUGCUUCUGUGGGUUUGAUCUGUUGUUUUGAGUGGUGCAGACUUUUAAAAUUUUGAAUUUAGGUACUACUUGAAAUUUUCAGAGAUCGAUAGAUACUUCAUAAGGUUGAAUACUAAAGAUUGUGUGAAAGUUAUCUAGCUAGCCAUUUUAUUCUAAGGUUCAUUGCUCGAUUUUUCAACAAGCUCUGCUCUCAAAAUACAGAGACUUGUGGAGGCAGGUUCGAAUGUGUUGAUCCGAAAAGCCAUGUGAGAGGCAAAAUUGGUUCUCUAAAAGUAAUGUGAGAGGCUAUUAUUGUAGAACAACAAUUUUGUAUUUGAUAUCGAUUCAUCAACACUUUCAUUUCUUGUAAAGGAAGUCUAACUAGCUAGGGGCUUUGAGCUGUAGGUGACAAAAGAGUUUUAAAAUGAGGUGUAGGUGACUUUUUUUUUUUAAUUUAAUUUGUUCUUUUAUAAUAAUUAAAUCACAAUAAUGGACCAACCCAUUAUACAAUUAAACAUUGUAGUCCAAUUUAUCUGACCCGGCCCAACCCGGAUCCAAUAUUGGCAACAAAUAUAAUCAGUGAAUUCCCUAAAAUAGAUAACUUUCCUAAUCCCUAAAUCAUUCACGCCGCCUUUCACUAUUUUACUCUCUUUCUUCGAAUCUGGUUCAAUUGUUACUAUGGAGCUUCUUGUCGACGCUUCUCCUUUAGAUUCACCUUCCGCUAGUAAGUAAUUCCUCCUUUAUUUUGAUGUCUCAGCUUAGUAUAACUAGGAAAUUGAUGCUACUUCUUUUGUUUCUGCUUCCUCCGGUGUAUGAGACUCAAAACAACAUUUUUAGCAUCUCUGAUGGCUCUAUUCAACAAGGUUAAGCUGUUACUUCCAGAUCUGGACACCUUGACGAUAAGGGAAGCCUGGAUUUCAAAGAAUGUAUGUUCUGCUUUACAAUCAGGUUUCCAAUAGCUUAUCUGAAAUAGCUAAAGGAGAGAUCCCUUCAAGCACCAUCAUGUCAUCUGUUUCUCCAUGCCACAACUGCAUUUACUUCUCUUCUUCAUCCUUCUUCAAACCUUUAUUGGUACCAUCCUUCAGUUUCUCUAUUAUGUUUUGAGUACUCUCAUCCUGUUGAAUAUCCCUUUGCUGAUUCAUUUUUCCCUUGCCACUCCUGUUAGUUGUUGGCUUCCCUUUUUCCACUUCUGGAGUCUUUCCAAAACUUUGGUUAACCCAAUCUUUAGUACUGACUUUUUGCUACUUUUGCUUGGUCUUCUUUCUGUUUCUCUAGGUCUGCAAUUGUUGAGUCAGUCACUUUUUCUUGAUCUUCUUUGUCCUUUAAGGUAUUAAAAGAAGUGGACAUUUUAAUAUCCUCAUCAUUAUUUUCAUUUACCUCUCCUAUAAUUCGACCAGACCUAUCUUUUCUGAAUUUAUUCUUCCUUAUAAGCCACUGAUACUUAUUGUUGUUUUAUCUUCUGAAGUUAUUCUGAUGCUGAGGUUGCUAAUUCUUUUGUUCACCAAAAUCCUUAUUCUUAGUAUUUUCUUCUGUCUUCUUACUCUCCUUCUUUUCAAAUAAUUUCGGGUGAAUUUUCCAAUAACCUCCCUCAUCAUGUCCUUGUAAACAAUAAUCUUGGAAAUACUUAAGCAUAUAAUCAUACUGAAUCUUUAUCCACUUAGACUUUAUUUCCCAAGUAAGAUCAUUCUCUUCAUUUAUUUGUAUCCUUUGUGGCAAUACUUUAACUCUUGCACAACUAGGCCUAGUGUGAAUUUUAGUAGCCAUAUCCACUGUGAGUGGCCUUUCUACUGCUAUUACUAUUGAGAAAAUUACGUCUUUUGCAAAGAAAUUUAGAGGAAGAUCUAGCAUGUAAAUCUAUGCUACUGCUAUUAAAGUUUCAACAUCAGCCUCAAACCAUGGAUCCCACUUCAGAGUUCUCAUUUGGUAAUAUCUCUCCCUCGAAUUGAUGUAAAAGGCUGUUGUCGAUAAUAAUUGAACAUAAUCUUCUAGCAUAUCUAGCCUUAUUAAUACAUGUCUUUCAUCCAACACGCCUAUAGUACAUUGAACUUUGAUUCCACGCUGAUUUGGAAUCCUUUUUCUCAGUACUUCGAUGUGAGGCUUGCCAUACAAAAAUUUACCUAUAAUUGCAUAUUGAAGUUUUUCUUGUAUGAUUAAGUUUUGAACUUCGGAUGAUUUUCACGUAAUAUUAGGUUCCCCAUGCAACAUUACUAUGGGUUUCGGAGGAAUCCUAAUACUAGAAUUAUCCACUAUUUUUGGCUUCAACAGAUCUACAAACUUAGGAAUAUUAGUCAUCUUUUGCUACUCUUUUAUUAUCUCCUCUACACUAUACUUAUUAAUGUCGUUCGGUGGGAUAGUCCCAUCGGCUAAAGUGGCCAUAUUGGCCAUAAAACUACAAUUUUAAAUAUUGAUGACGAGUAUGGUUUGUAAGGAUGACGGCUAGAGGUAUAGGUGACACAAGUCUUAAUAAUUGAGUGGAGGUGACAAUUACUUUAUUAUGAAUUAAGAAAGUUGGGUAAGUUUGAGAAUAACCCAGAAGUUUUUAAAUUUAUAUUUUGA